This is a non-coding RNA of Stegodyphus mimosarum, 73 nucleotides long. The record is from Rfam. Lineage: Eukaryota; Metazoa; Arthropoda; Arachnida; Araneae; Eresidae.
GCUUUCGUGGUGUAGUGGUUAGCACACUCAGCGCGAAUUCGAGAUGUCCUUGGUUCGAGUCCCGGCGAGGGCA